AUACGGAGGGGGUUAGCGUUGUUCGGAAUUACUGGGCGUAAAGCGCACGUAGGCGGACUGGAAAGUUGGGGGUGAAAUCCCGGGGCUCAACCUCGGAACUGCCUCCAAAACUUCCAAUCUAGAGAUCGAGAGAGGUGAGUGGAAUUCCAAGUGUAGAGGUGAAAUUCGUAGAUAUUUGGAGGAACACCAGUGGCGAAGGCGGCUCACUGGCUCGAUACUGACGCUGAGGUGCGAAAGCGUGGAGAGCAAACAGGAUUAGAUACCCUAGUAGUCC
RNAcentral lists this ribosomal RNA (274 nucleotides) under uncultured bacterium. RNAcentral describes it as "partial 16S ribosomal RNA". It matches the Rfam family "Bacterial small subunit ribosomal RNA", at positions 523 to 796 of the family's 1533-position model. The record is from RNAcentral.